GUGAAAGUACAAGGGCUUUAUAUAGUAGGUAGGCCUGAGGUUAGGGUUGAAUGGUGGUGAAAGUACAAGGGCUUUAUAUAGUAGGUAGGCCUGAGGUUAGGGUUGAAUGGUGGUGAAAGUACUAGGGCUUUAUAUAGUAGGUAGGCCUGAGGUUAGGGUUGAAUGGUGGUGAAAGUACUAGGGCUUUAUAUAGUAGGUAGGCCUGAGGUUUGGUUGAAUGGUGGUGAAAGUACUAGGGCUUUAUAUAGUAGGUAGGCCUGGUGUUAUGUUUGAAUGGGGGUGAAAGUACUAGGGCUUUAUAUAGAAGGUACAGUUGAAGUCGGAUGUUUACAUACACCUUAGCCAAAU
This is a long non-coding RNA of Oncorhynchus tshawytscha (Chinook salmon), 348 nucleotides long. Lineage: Eukaryota; Metazoa; Chordata; Actinopteri; Salmoniformes; Salmonidae. The record is from Ensembl.